This 468-nucleotide ribosomal RNA is filed under the name uncultured bacterium. RNAcentral describes it as "partial 16S ribosomal RNA". It matches the Rfam family "Bacterial small subunit ribosomal RNA", at positions 28 to 507 of the family's 1533-position model. The record is from RNAcentral.
GACGAACGCUGGCGGCGUGCUUAACACAUGCAAGUCGAACGGAAAGGCCCUGCUUUUGUGGGGUGCUCGAGUGGCGAACGGGUGAGUAACACGUUAGUAACCUGCCCUUGACUUUGGGAUAACUUCAUGAAACUGGUGCUAAUACCGGAUAGGAGCUCCUGCUGCAUGGUGGGGGUGGGAAAGUUUCGGCGGUUGGGGAUGGACUCGCGGCUUAUCAUCUUGUUGGUGGGGUAGUGGCUUACCAAGGCUUUGACGGGUAGCCGGCCUGAGAGGGUGACCGGCCAAAUUGGGACUGAGAUAAGGCCCAGACUCCUACGGGAGGCAGGAGUGGGGAAUAUUGCACAAUGGGCGGAAGCCUGAUGCAGCAACGCCGCGUGCGGGAUGACGGCCUUCGGGUUGUAAACCGCUUUCGCCUGUGACGAAGCGUGAGUGACGGUAAUGGGUAAAGAAGCACCGGCUAACUACGUG